CACUCCUACGGGAGGCAGCAGUGGGGAAUAUUGGACAAUGGGCGCAAGCCUGAUCCAGCCAUGCCGCGUGAGUGAUGAAGGCCCUAGGGUUGUAAAGCUCUUUCACCGGUGAAGAUAAUGACGGUAACCGGAGAAGAAGCCCCGGCUAACUUCGUGCCAGCAGCCGCGGUAAUACGAAGGGGGCUAGCGUUGUUCGGAUUUACUGGGCGUAAAGCGCACGUAGGCGGACUAUUAAGUCAGGGGUGAAAUCCCGGGGCUCAACCCCGGAACUGCCUUUGAUACUGGUAGUCUUGAGUUCGAGAGAGGUGAGUGGAAUUCCGAGUGUAGAGGUGAAAUUCGUAGAUAUUCGGAGGAACACCAGUGGCGAAGGCGGCUCACUGGCUCGAUACUGACGCUGAGGUGCGAAAGCGUGGGGAGCAAACAGGAUUAGAAACCCUAGUAGUCCCAUGAU
RNAcentral lists this ribosomal RNA (451 nucleotides) under uncultured organism. RNAcentral's name for it is "partial 16S ribosomal RNA". It matches the Rfam family "Bacterial small subunit ribosomal RNA", at positions 334 to 801 of the family's 1533-position model. The record is from RNAcentral.